AUCUGGUUGAUCCUGCCAGAAGUUAUAUGCUUGUUUCAAGGAUUAAGCCAUGCAUGUCUAAGAAUACAGUAUCUUAAGCUGAAUCUGCGGACGGCUCAUUAAACCAGCAAUGACCUACCCUGGAUAGUAGGGCUUCGGCUCUGCCAUUCGGAUAUCCACUCGAAACGGGUGGUUAAUACGUGGAAGAAAAAGGCUGCCUCCAUCAAACCACUGUAGGGGAAACCCAAGGUGGGGAGGCGGUCUGGUGUGGACCGAAACAAAAACCGACGCUCUGUCACAGGAGCAGUCUACAAUCGGUGAAUCAGGUCCACCUUACCUAAAGCGACUUGUUCGCGUUCCAGGACGGACUUCUGCCCUAUCAGCUAUGAUGGUUGUGUAGUGGACAACCAUGGCUAUCACGGGUAACGGAGAAUCAGGGUUCGAUUCCGGAGAGUGAGCCUGAGAGACGGCUAACACAACUAAGGUUGGCAGCAGGCGCGCAAAUUACCCAAUGUCAACACUGACGAGGUAGCGACGAAAAAUAGGAUUUCCGCGGGUCUCUGACCCGUGGAGAUUCCAAUGAAUGGUACUUAAACCCACCACUGAGUAACGAUUGGAGGGCAAGUCUGGUGCCAGCAGCCGCGGUAAUUCCAGCUCCAAGAGCGUAUGCUAAUGCUGUUGCUGUUAAAAAGCUCGUAGUUGGAUUCUGAGUUGGAGGUUGCACACGGCCUUUCCGCGGAAGGUAGCUGCCGUUUCGGCGGUAUGUUGCCUUUCCGUUGUGUUAGGGUACAACCGGGUGCUUUCGACCUUCACUCUACACACGCGGAAACGAUUCUCCUGCGGAAGCCUCCUUAACUGGUGGUGGAAGCAACCUUACGGGAUCAACUGUUCCCAUAAAGGAGCGUCCGCGAUUGUUACUGUGAACAAAACAGCGUGUUCAAAGCAUCCGUAUGGCUGAAUGAUCUAGCAUGGAAUAACAAGGGAUCGACCUUUGGUUUGGUCUUCUUUUUGUCGGUUUUGAUUACCCCAAGGGGCAAUCUAGGGCGGAGUAACCAUUCGGUUACCUUUGGCGUUUCUGUUAUCCUUCGGGGUGCAAGGCGUUCAGAGGUCCAAAUGGUCUCCGUUCCGUCGGUAUUAAUAGGAGCAAGCGGGGUGGUACGUAUUGCUGCGUUAGUGGUGAAAUACUUAGACCGCAGCAGGACGAACAACAGCGAAGGCAUUCUGCAAGUUUGCUUUCAUUAAUCAAGAACGAGAGUGUGGGGUUCGAAGAUGAUCAGAUACCGUCGUAGUCCAUUACCGUAAACGAUGCCGAUUUGAAAUCAGCAAGGGCUCUACUUCAGGACCUUGUUGGCAUCGCCCCCUUUUAACGAGAAAUCUUAAAUGUUUGGGUUCAGGGGGGAGUACAUUCGCAAGGCUGAAACUUAAAGGAAUUGACGGAAUGACACCACAAGGCGUGGAGUAUGCGGCUUAAUUUGACUCAACACGGGGAAACUCACCAGGUCAGGACGAAAUUAGGAUUGACAGAUUGAAGUUCUUUCUUGAUCUUUCGGAUGGUGGUGCAUGGCCGUUCUUGGUUGGUGAAGUGAUUUGUCUGCUUAAUUGCGUUAACGAACGAGAUCUCUGCCUCUUAAUAGGUGGCGGCGACGUUUUAAGCAGCUGUGGGGGGGUCCGAGCGGUUUCGGCCGUGAGGCUCCCUUUUUGCUGUGAGUCUGCCGUGAAACUUCUUAGAGGGACUGUGUACGUUCCAGUACACGGAAGGUAGAGCCAAUAGCAGGUCUGUGAUGCUCCUAGAUGUCCUGGGCUGCACGCGCACUACACUGAUGGCGAAAACGAGUUUGCACUCCUUGUGAGUCCUGCUUCGAAAGGAGUGGGAAAUCUUGGAAGGCGCCAUCGUGACUGGGAUAGAUGAUUGCAAUUAUUUGCCUUGAACGAGGAAUGCCUAGUAAGGGCGAUUCAUCAGAUCGCCCUGAUUACGUCCCUGUCAUUUGUACACACCGCCCGUCGUUGCUACCGAUUGGUUUUGGAACAGAGAUCUUAGGAGGACCGGUCCACGGGUUCGCCCGCGGCCUUCCUGGUUCCAAAUUAGCUCAAUGUCUCAAAGCUAGAGGAAGCAAAAGUCGUAACAAGGUAGCUGUAGGUGAACCUGCAGCUGGAUCAUU
RNAcentral lists this ribosomal RNA (2138 nucleotides) under Decastava sp. RNAcentral describes it as "SSU rRNA". It matches the Rfam family "Eukaryotic small subunit ribosomal RNA". Lineage: Eukaryota; Euglenozoa; Stavomonadea; Decastavida; Decastavidae. The record is from RNAcentral.